AUAUGGGGCAUUUUCGAGACAGAAGAUUGGGGAAAUUUUUGGACAAAUUUUCCGAUCUCUGUGGUUUCUUCGAGAUUUUGAGUCUAGUUCGUCGAAGUUGAAGUUCGUUUGUCAUUCGAGUUUCCGGUCGAAGUUCCUGUUCUUGUUUGCGAUUCACUUUAGUUCUUCGUCGCUGAAUUUUUUUUGUUCUCGCUUCUGUAGUUAAUUGAAAUUCUGAACAUCCAGGUUCAUUUCUGUCUCCCCUAUCGUGUUUGAUUUUAGUUAGAUUUGAUCUCCCUCCGCUACUUGUG
This 290-nucleotide long non-coding RNA is filed under the name Nicotiana benthamiana. Its description in RNAcentral is "long non-coding RNA (NBEN_LNC037652)". Lineage: Eukaryota; Viridiplantae; Streptophyta; Magnoliopsida; Solanales; Solanaceae. The record is from RNAcentral.